Molecule: long non-coding RNA, 458 nt
Filed under: Rattus norvegicus (Norway rat)
Lineage: Eukaryota; Metazoa; Chordata; Mammalia; Rodentia; Muridae
Description: long non-coding RNA NONRATT021897
Source: RNAcentral
AAGAGGGGCAGCCGGCCACGGCCACCGCGGGCCAGUGGGCAGGGAGCGGGCUGCUGUGGCCAGGACAACCACAAUCACUGCUCUGGACUCCGGAUCCCUGGCUGCAUCCAGCCUGGCGGUUGUGGCCCGGCCCAGCUGCCAUGGCGCACUGCAAGACAGAGCAGGAUGACUGGCUGCUGGCCCACCUGAAGUACCUGCUUUUUAUCUUCAACUUCUUCUUCUGGGUAAGUGCAGGCUACGGCACACCCCUCCCCACACGCACAGUCUGGCCAUAUGCACUUUUGAGUCACUGCCAAGGUUGACUUCUCCCAAGCUGAUGACCACCAUCCUGCCUGCUGCUUGCUCAAAGUCAGCCCUGCCCUGGCUAUGAAGGUGGGAGGAAUCCAGGCUGCAGCUCUCAUGGAGUCCAGGACACCACAUCGAGACUGAACUGUGUAUGGUCUCAUCUAUCUUCCCUG